AGUGAACGCUGGCGGUAGGCCUAACACAUGCAAGUCGAACGGCAGCACAGUAAGAGCUUGCUCUUACGGGUGGCGAGUGGCGGACGGGUGAGGAAUACAUCGGAAUCUACUUUUUCGUGGGGGAUAACGUAGGGAAACUUACGCUAAUACCGCAUACGACCUACGGGUGAAAGCAGGGGAUCUUCGGACCUUGCGCGAUUAAAUGAGCCGAUGUCGGAUUAGCUAGUUGGCGGGGUAAAGGCCCACCAAGGCGACGAUCCGUAGCUGGUCUGAGAGGAUGAUCAGCCACACUGGAACUGAGACACGGUCCAGACUCCUACGGGAGGCAGCAGUGGGGAAUAUUGGACAAUGGGCGCAAGCCUGAUCCAGCCAUACCGCGUGGGUGAAGAAGGCCUUCGGGUUGUAAAGCCCUUUUGUUGGGAAAGAAAAGCAGCAGGUUAAUACCCCGCUGUUCUGACGGUACCCAAAGAAUAAGCACCGGCUAACUUCGCG
Molecule: ribosomal RNA, 492 nt
Filed under: uncultured bacterium
Lineage: Bacteria
Description: partial 16S ribosomal RNA
Rfam family: Bacterial small subunit ribosomal RNA
Source: RNAcentral